CGAGUAUGCAUAAACAGCUUGAUUUAAAUACAAGCCAAAUACAAUUAAUUUCUGUUAACCAUUUAUAAUUGUGGCUUAUUAUUACAUCUUGAAAGGACUGGAUAUCUGAGCACUGUCUGACAUUACUUUUGACUUCACUGGAGGUAACCUAGAAGGAGAGAGAUGUCUCAGCAGUUUCUUUAUCAAUCGCCACCUUUGGAUUUAGCCUUCUGUGGUCAUUUUGAAUAGCAAGCAUCUGAGACAGCAAAGGUGGGCGCAACUGCCAAAACCACAACCCACGGUCAAAAGGAUCGUCAUCCAUUUGGGGGUGCUCUACGUGUAUGAAGUUAUUUAAUACUUAUAACAACUUUAUGAGAUGGAAUGAUCCAUUUUACCUGCAGAGAGUGCAAGGAUCAAGGAAAGGUUUGCGGCACUCUUGAAUUGAGCAAGAUCAUCAACACCAUUUUACUAACAGCAUGUGCUUACUUGGUGUCUCUGUGUCAUAUUUUAGUAAUUCUUGCAAUAUUUCAAACUUUUUCUAUAUUAUUGUAUCUGCUAUAGUUAUUUGUGAUAAGUGGCCUUCGAUGUUACUAUUGUAAUUGUUUUGUGGCAUCUCAAACUGUAUCCCUAAAAGAUGGCAAAUUUAAUCAAUAAAUGUGUGUCUUCUGACUGCUCUACCAACCAGCCAUUAUUCAAUCUCUUUCCCUGCCUUCAGGCCUCCCUAUUCUCUGUAUUGAAAUUAGGCCUCUAAGUGUUCAAGUGCAAGGAAGAGUCACACAGCUCUCACUUUAAAUCAACCUUGUCCAACCCACAGCCUGUGGGCUGCAUGCAGCCC
RNAcentral lists this long non-coding RNA (814 nucleotides) under Homo sapiens (human). Its description in RNAcentral is "HSALNT0092548". Lineage: Eukaryota; Metazoa; Chordata; Mammalia; Primates; Hominidae. The record is from RNAcentral.